GCCUCAAAGAGGGGGACAACAGUUGGAAACGACUGCUAAUACCGCAUAAGCCCACGGCUCGGCAUCGAGCAGAGGGAAAAGGAGCAAUCCGCUUUGAGAUGGCCUCGCGUCCGAUUAGCUAGUUGGUGAGGUAACGGCCCACCAAGGCGACGAUCGGUAGCCGGACUGAGAGGUUGAACGGCCACAUUGGGACUGAGACACGGCCCAGACUCCUACGGGAGGCAGCAGUGAGGAAUAUUGGUCAAUGGACGAGAGUCUGAACCAGCCAAGUAGCGUGAAGGAUGAAGGUCCUACGGAUUGUAAACUUCUUUUAUAAGGGAAUAAACCCUCCCACGUGUGGGAGCUUGUAUGUACCUUAUGAAUAAGCAUCGGCUAACUCCGUGCCAGCAGCCGCGGUAAUACGGAGGAUGCGAGCGUUAUCCGGAUUUAUUGGGUUUAAAGGGAGCGCAGACGGGUCGUUAAGUCAGCUGUGAAAGUUUGGGGCUCAACCUUAAAAUUGCAGUCGAUACUGGCGUCCUUGAGUGCGGUUGAGGUGUGCGGAAUUCGUGGUGUAGCGGUGAAAUGCUUAGAUAUCACGAAGAACUCCGAUUGCGAAGGCAGCACACUAAGCCGUAACUGACGUUCAUGCUCGAAAGUGUGGGUAUCAAACAGGAUUAGAUACCCUGGUAGUCCACACGGUAAACGAUGGAUACUCGCUGUUGGCGAUAUACGGUCAGCGGCUUAGCGAAAGCGUUAAGUAUCCCACCUGGGGAGUACGCCGGCAACGGUGCAACUCAAAGGAAUUGACGGCGCAGCGCGGCGCGCCGCGCACCACGCCC
This 818-nucleotide ribosomal RNA is filed under the name uncultured bacterium. Its description in RNAcentral is "bacterial SSU rRNA". It matches the Rfam family "Bacterial small subunit ribosomal RNA", at positions 128 to 944 of the family's 1533-position model. The record is from RNAcentral.